RNAcentral lists this transfer RNA (77 nucleotides) under Candidatus Omnitrophota bacterium. Its description in RNAcentral is "Candidatus Omnitrophica bacterium tRNA-Val". It matches the Rfam family "tRNA". Rfam says of the family: Transfer RNA (tRNA) molecules are approximately 80 nucleotides in length. Their secondary structure includes four short double-helical elements and three loops (D, anti-codon, and T loops). Further hydrogen bonds mediate the characteristic L-shaped molecular structure. tRNAs have two regions of fundamental functional importance: the anti-codon, which is responsible for specific mRNA codon recognition, and the 3' end, to which the tRNAs corresponding amino acid is attached (by aminoacyl-tRNA synthetases). tRNAs cope with the degeneracy of the genetic code in two manners: having more than one tRNA (with a specific anti-codon) for a particular amino acid; and 'wobble' base-pairing, i.e. permitting non-standard base-pairing at the 3rd anti-codon position. The record is from RNAcentral. Lineage: Bacteria; Pseudomonadati; Candidatus Omnitrophota.
GGGCGAUUGGCUCAGCUGGUUAGAGCGCUACAUUCACAUUGUAGAGGUCAUAGGUCCGAAUCCUAUAUCGCCCACCA